CAAAAAAAGUGGCAAUAAAAUAUUUGAUACUUUAAAAAGGAAGUGGCUAACAUCAGAACGUGAACCCGGCUCUGACACUAAUUUUUUUUUUAAUUCUUCCGCUAUCACCCAGCAAAGAGAAACCAGACAUAGGCUUAUGCAGAACAGUUCCUAGAACAUGAAUGAUCUGAAAUCGCUUCACCUUCACAUCUAACUCCAACCAGGGUGGUGUUUUGGUUGAAACCGACUGUGAACUGAUUCCUUCAGUAGAGCACAGGGUGGGUGCUGGCCACAGUUCAUGGUAAGCAGCCUGAGCGGAUCCUUACCCCACUGCAGAAGCAAUCAAACCCACCCCUGCUGAAGCGGUAGGAGCGCUUACCCGGUCUGUACCUCUCGUGAGACCGUGAACUCCGGAAAUCCAACCUUACCCACAAACUGCUAAUUCAGUGGAAAGAAGUCUUCAAAUCCAGGCCAGCAGUUGGCGACAGCAGCGGCCCUGGCCCAAGGCUCCCGAGAGCAGCGUGUGGCCUCCGGGAGCGGCUCCAGGGAGAGGCCUGAGGAGCUGGACCCCCCUGCCCCCCACCACGGCAGUGGCAACACCAAGGGGCCAUGGCUGUUACUUCACACAGGUGGGCUCUGAGGCACCCGCACAGGUAAGCCACCUCCCCGAGGCCAGUGGGG
This is a long non-coding RNA of Enhydra lutris kenyoni (northern sea otter), 660 nucleotides long. RefSeq lists it as uncharacterized. The transcript is spliced from 3 exons. The record is from RefSeq and is a predicted model, not a curated record. NCBI's taxonomy places the organism in Eukaryota, Metazoa, Chordata, Mammalia, Carnivora, Mustelidae.